UUUGGGCGUGUCUCCCUUCUCGGGAGACUCUCUCGACCCCCACGAACCCUUGACCUCAAAUCGGGUGAGACUACCCGCUGAACUUAAGCAUAUCAAUAAGCGGAGGAAAAGANAACUAACAAGGAUUCCCCUAGUAACUGCGAGUGAANGCGGGAAAAGCUCAAAUUUAAAAUCUGGUGGUCUCUGGCCGUCCGAGUUGUAAUUUAGAGAAGUGUCUUCCG
This 221-nucleotide ribosomal RNA is filed under the name Lactarius deliciosus. Its description in RNAcentral is "partial 28S ribosomal RNA". The stretch from base 51 to 221 matches the Rfam family "Eukaryotic large subunit ribosomal RNA", at positions 1 to 167 of the family's 3401-position model. The record is from RNAcentral. Lineage: Eukaryota; Fungi; Basidiomycota; Agaricomycetes; Russulales; Russulaceae.